This 507-nucleotide ribosomal RNA is filed under the name uncultured bacterium. Its description in RNAcentral is "bacterial SSU rRNA". It matches the Rfam family "Bacterial small subunit ribosomal RNA", at positions 222 to 722 of the family's 1533-position model. The record is from RNAcentral.
AUGAGGGGCCUGCGUAGCAUCAGCUAGUUGGUGGGGUAAUGGCCUACCAAGGCGAAGACGCUUAGCUGGUCUGAGAGGAUGAUCAGCCACACUGGGACUGAGACACGGCCCAGACUCCUACGGGAGGCAGCAGUGGGGAAUAUUGGACAAUGGGCGCAAGCCUGAUCCAGCCACGCCGCGUGAGUGAUGAAGGCCUUCGGGGUCGUAAAAGCUCUGUGGGGAGGGACGAACGGCGCCAUGAAGAGUGGCGAUUGACGGUACCUCCUUAGCAAGCACCGGCUAACUUCGUGCCAGCAGCCGCGGUAAUACGAAGGGGUGCAAAACGUUGCUCGGAAUCAUUGGGCGUAAAGCGCACGUAGGCGGCUUUCUAAGUCGGAUGUGAAAUCCCUCGGCUUAACCGAGGACGUGCAUCCGAAACUGGGAGGCUUGAGUAUGGAAGAGGGUCGCAGAAUUCCCGGUGUAGAGGUGAAAUUCGUAGAUAUCGGGAGGAAUACCAGUGGCGAAGGC